CGGAGGGAUCAUUACCGAGUUUACAACUCCCAAACCCAAUGUGAACGUUACCAAACUGUUGCCUCGGCGGGGUCACGCCCCGGGUGCGUCGCAGCCCCGGAACCAGGCGCCCGCCGGAGGAACCAACCAAACUCUUUCUGUAGUCCCCUCGCGGACGUAUUUCUUUACAGCUCUGAGCAAAAAUUCAAAAUGAAUCAAAACUUUCAACAACGGAUCUCUUGGUUCUGGCAUCGAUGAAGAACGCAGCGAAAUGCGAUAAGUAAUGUGAAUUGCAGAAUUCAGUGAAUCAUCGAAUCUUUGAACGCACAUUGCGCCCGCCAGUAUUCUGGCGGGCAUGCCUGUCCGAGCGUCAUUUCAACCCUCGAACCCCUCCGGGGGAUCGGCGUUGGGGAUCGGGACCCCUCACACGGGUGCCGGCCCCUAAAUACAGUGGCGGUCUCGCCGCAGCCUCUCCUGCGCAGUAGUUUGCACAACUCGCACCGGGAGCGCGGCGCGUCCACGUCCGUAAAACACCCAACUUUCUGAAAUGUUGACCUCGGAUCAGGUAGGAAUACCCGCUGAACUUAAGCAUAUCAAUA
Molecule: ribosomal RNA, 578 nt
Filed under: Trichoderma asperellum
Lineage: Eukaryota; Fungi; Ascomycota; Sordariomycetes; Hypocreales; Hypocreaceae
Description: eukaryotic LSU rRNA
Rfam family: 5.8S ribosomal RNA (bases 199-352)
Source: RNAcentral